This is a long non-coding RNA of Oryzias melastigma (Indian medaka), 1828 nucleotides long. RefSeq lists it as uncharacterized. The record is from RefSeq and is a predicted model, not a curated record. The transcript has 2 exons. Lineage: Eukaryota; Metazoa; Chordata; Actinopteri; Beloniformes; Adrianichthyidae.
GUCAUUCUUCUGUAGCGCUGCUGGAGUUUAUGUAAUAUGACGUCAUUCCUCUGAACAUCUGAAGCCCUCUGGUGACGUCAGUCUCUGUCGGCCCCUCCCCUUCACGUGACCACUCAUUGUGGCGUUGUGGUCAUGUGUGAAUGAGCGGCUGAAUCCAGUGACGUCACGUGGCCUGGGCGUUCCCGCCUCCAGCCCCGAAUGUUUUUCUGACUCAGACCUGCCCUGUAACAUUCACGAGAAUGGCAGUGUUGUAUUUUCCCAGCUUCAGUGAAUGCAGCACACGCACGGCGGUCUGACCAAUCAGACAAACGGACACGCGGCGGGUUCGUGAGGAAAAGAAGCGGGAAGCUCUUCUGUUGUGGCGGCUGCAGCGGCGGGAAGACUCUGUCCGAACACCUGGAACAGGUAAAGGCGGGAAAUGUUCCCGUGAUGUGAACACCUGUGUGACCUGAUGACAGGUGUGUUAGCUCCAGCGUUAGCCUAGCAUCAGUCAGUCUGUUCCUCCACGACAGAGAAAACAUUGGAAUCAAAUCAGGUUUGAUUGGAUUCAAGACUUGCAGCAGCUGAAGUCAUGUGACUUCCCCCUGGUUAUUGGGCCAGACCCCCCCUCCCCCCUUUUUCAUUUCUCUGAGAAAUGAGCAGCAGAACCGGGUCAGUCAUCAGAUCCAGAUUCAGUUUUUGUUUUUCCGUCUAACAUCAGCUGUAGAUCCUUGACCUGAUCUGUGGAUCAAAUGUCCAAAUCCACGAGCUUCCCGGAGCCGGUUGAAGAGCCGAACCCGGUCCAGGUGGGACACCUGUUCGGACCAUGUUUUGGAGUUCUGUGUCGGGGGUUCUGGUCCAUUUCCGUUUCUUCUCAUCAACAUCAUUCCAGAGGAACAGACUGACGGUCUCAGACUGAAAGUGAGGAUUUCAUCUUUCUCUGUUGGACCAGGACCACAGCAGCUCUGACCCGACCCGGAAUGCUGAAGUACCGCUGCAGUGACCAUGACCUGCUGAUCAGAGGAAAACAAAAACAAAGCAGAGUUCAGGUGAACUUUCACAUCUGCAGAACCAGACCUGGAUCAGAACCAGGAGGAGGGAACCAGACCUGGAUCAGAACCAGUUUGAAAGUUUCUUUCAGGUCCUCCUCAGUCUCGUCAAUCCAUCUGAUCUGAGCUGGAUUAAGAUUGUUCUCGGACGUCUUCAUCUUCCCGCCUCAGAUUGUCCAUGACGGUCCAGGCCAGAGCCCAGAAGCCCCGCCCCCAUACAGCCCUGUUUUUAUUGGUUUACGUCCACCAGUAAAUGAAAAAAAAAACGAGUUUUUGAGCUUGCAGAACAUAAAUAAACAUUCCAGCGUGUUUUAUAUGUUCCUCUCUGGUCGAUCUUCAGAGCUCAGAGUUGUUGACAGUUUGGUUUACGAGCAGUCGCAGCCGCCGGACAACCUCCAGGACUUUCAGGAAACCAGAAACAGUUGGUUGCCUAGGCAACCACCUUUAUUAGGGUUUAAUGGUCUGUAUGAGUUUUUGAGAGAACUAUUACCAAACAUAUGAAGAUGUUUCUGAAAAUACAAAAUAACAAUUUGUAUGUCAAUAAAUAAAUAAAUAAAAUUAAAGUUUCAUUUAAUUAGCAUUUCUUAUGCACACAUAACUAGCCCCGCCCCUCCUGCUUUAAAAAACACAAUUGAACUUUGAUGUGAAGCACAAAGCACAGCGGUGGAGGAUUCAUGAUGUGGGGUUGUUGGAGUUUCUCUAAAAUCAUUUUUCUCAUUUAUCAAAUAACUGUUUUGUCACCAAGUUUCUUUUUUGUUAAGUUUAUGUCAUAAAUAAAUGGACAUCAGUUUUCCGUUUCA